CCAUUCAUUUACUUUAGUUAGUAAAUAUAUUUUGUUAUUCCGUAUCUCCACGUUGUCUCCUUUUUUUGUUAUGAACUUUGAUCCUGUUCGUGACAAGUGGGGGCUCGUCCGGGAUCAUACGGUUUAUGUUGAGUGGAGGAGCCUGAAGCAAGCGCCAAGAGAGGACAACUUAGAUGGUAGCAGAUGUAUGCAGAUGCUGGGGAGAACUACAAGGCUACUUUGGACUAUUGCCAAAGUGCAGUGAGCUUUCCAGUGUCCCAAUGGCUGCCAGCAAUCACCCAGGUGGGUGCUGCAUGUUGGUGGUGGUUGUGGAGUAGCUGGCUAACUACCGGCUACAGAGACCAUUUGCGCUGCGGACAAAAGUCGUCAUUACUCCAUGUCUGGACAUGUCUGAUCCGCAGAAGCCUUCCUCCCCUUGGCAGUCUCCCCUUGGCUGAUCCUGACCAAAACUCCAGAGGUUUUCAACUGGGUGUGAUCGACCAUGACGCUCCCUCGAUCCUCACAAUCACACGAUUUCCCAUGAUUUAAAUAUUUGUCUAUUUAAAUUAUUAGCUUAUUUAUUUAGAUUGACUGUACACUGCAAUUCAGCUCUUAGCUGCCAAUUUGUACACCUUAAUAAACAAUAAAAUAAACUAAACCCUCAA
Molecule: long non-coding RNA, 644 nt
Organism: Oncorhynchus kisutch (coho salmon)
Lineage: Eukaryota; Metazoa; Chordata; Actinopteri; Salmoniformes; Salmonidae
Exons: 3
Source: RefSeq, a predicted model, not a curated record